Small nuclear RNA from Cynocephalus volans (Philippine flying lemur), 107 nucleotides. Lineage: Eukaryota; Metazoa; Chordata; Mammalia; Dermoptera; Cynocephalidae. The record is from RefSeq and is a predicted model, not a curated record.
GUGCUCGUUUCAGCAGCACAUAUAUUAAGAUUGCAGCGAUACAGAAAGGAUUAGCAUGGCCCCUACACAAGGAUGACAUGCAAAUUCAUGAAGCGUUCCAUAUUUUU